UUCAAAAAACAAUCCGCAUCAUUGUAUUUCACAGUUAAGCAAGAAAAUUACGAGGCCAGCUGGCUUGUUCACCAUGAAUUUGCAUGGUUACGUCAUUCAUUUUCAUACGAUAAGCACAGGAAGGUUAGCUUUUUGUGUGGUUAUGGUUAGCAGCACUGUGAAAUUGAAACUUGCGUAGUAAGCAGGGAAAACAGCUGCUUAAAAGCAGCUCUAUGAAAUUAGGCCCUGGUAUAGUUCCUCCAAAGCGUACAAACUGUCCCUAUCUUAGAUCUUAUAAGCGUGUGAGAUUCCGUUGUCUGUGUUUCUAUUGACCUUUUACAAAACAAAGUGACUUUUGCUCUCAAGGGCCCAAUUUUCUGCUAUUAUUAAAUUAAAUUAUUAAGUAAAAUUUUCUGCUUAAGUGGCUCUAUGAAAUUGGACCUGGAGCAUGUCUUGGCAGGUAAAUAGUUACAUUAUUGAUUGGAGAGAUUUUAUGUUUUUGUAACUUAAUAAUAUGAUCAUAAAGAAUUGUGAAAACAUAAUAGCUGAACAAGAUUCGAGGUGUGUUUCCCUUUUUCUUCCUGUAGGAUUUAUAACAAGUCGUACACUGCAAUCUUCAUAAAAUGUGUGUUUGAUGUUUUCUGCCUUUGAGCUGUGUACACCUUGUGCCUACAGAAAAGCCAGUCCGACUGUUUGUUUUUUUGUAAACAUGCAGUGCCAUGAGUAAUUAGGUCUAAUACCACAUCUAUUGGUUUGGCUUUUACUUGCUUACAAAACUCCCUAAUAAAAUAAUUAAACUGUAUUUUAUUACCUUCUAGCGGGGCAUCAUGGUUGGCUUGUGCGUAAAGUGCACUCCUCUCACCAAGGUGACCCUGGUUCGAUUCCCGGUCGGGGCCAUAAUGUGAGUUGAGUUGUUCGUUGGUUCUCUACUGUGCCAGGAGGGUUUUUCCAAGACCAUCUGGUUUUCCUACCUCGCGAAAAAUCAAACACUUUCAAUAUUGAAGGAAAAAGGCCCAUCUAAAAGUCUCCCAAUGGCAGACAAUCCCCAUUUGUUCUUGUCUCUGCUCUGGAGACAUGUUUUACAGAACGAGUAAUUUUUAUUGGAUACAAUGACAAAUGUACAGUGACGUAAGCUUUCCAUAUCUGUGUUUCAAUUGGUCAGAGGUGAUGUUUGGCAGCUGCACUUUCAAUAAGUUUUAUGUAGACCUUUCUUUAGACAGGUCACAGCCCAAGUUUUUGCCAACUGAGUUUGGAAAACUAUGGAAAGCCAUAAAUGCAAAGCAAAAACAGAUUGUAUUAAUGUCAAAAAUAGUGUUAAAUUUGUUAUACAAAGCAAUCAAUCAUGGGAGAUCAUUUAUUUAAUUGAAAGUUUGCAAAAAAUGUGGAAUUUGGUCAGAAUAUCUGUAACAAGAUUGAAUGUUUUGCGCCUGUCCAUGCCAACCAGUGCGGUUUGUUUAUCAACAAUAGGGUCUAUUGCCGCCAAGCGAGCCCCAUUUUGUUUUUUUUGUAAUGUAGAUUCUUUUUGUCGUUGAGACAUUGGUACCCAUCGCUUUCCUUUCUAGUACCCGCUUGAGCAUCAAUAGACCAAUCCGACGAAACAAAAUUGGUAGCGCCCUCUAUUGAAAAAUUAACAAGUGCGGUGUCUUUUUGUGCAUAAACUAGGCACUGAAAACACCGUAGCAAAUGGUGCGCGGUGCUCAAAACUUGUGCGCCUGCGCCACAUGACAUGGUUGUUAAGCUUGUGUUAACCACUGAUGGGCAACACCUUUUCUUCUACAUGAAACUUUAGAGGAACUCCAAAAUAUAUUCUGCGACAAAUUUCAAGUAGGAACAAGAAAAAAAUUAUUUCUAUUUGCAAUAAGUUCAGAGUCGGGCUUUCUUGGUCUAAAAGCUGGUUCACUGUUGUUUGCUCUAUGGUCAGACAAAAAACUUGACCCAAAUUCACUUAAAUGUUGCGGCUUUUACACAUAACUAGACUGGUCCCCUGUCUAAGACAGGCAUUUUUACAGAACCAGCAAUUUCAUUGGAUACAUUGUUCCACUAGACAAACUUGCAGUGAUGUAGUAAGCUUUCCAUAUCAGGGUUUUAUUUUACCCUUUUACAUUUUACAUCUUUUCUGUGCGUGUACCUUCAUACUGUAUCUUAAGAAAAUUGUUGUCACAAGAUCUGUGAUCAUUGCAAAAUGAUUGUAAAAGUCCAAUUGUUAAUAAAAUAUUAAUAAUUCUCUCAAGACAUCAAAAGACACAGAAAAAAACAACAAACAUGGUUUUAUAGAGUAUGUAGUUACUGUAUUUUACACAGAUGAAAGGUAUACAGAAUAAAAACAUCAUCAUGCUGUAUUCAAACUUGGCUACAUUUUAUUGUAAUUAAUUAACCAAAGAGAAACAAUAUUUUAAAAUACACCACCCACUUGUACCGAAUGUCACCUACUGCUACAAUGUACCAUGCUUGCCAUUGUGGGAGUCGAUUUGAACAUGCAGCGUUGCCUUU
Molecule: long non-coding RNA, 2469 nt
Organism: Asterias rubens (European starfish)
Lineage: Eukaryota; Metazoa; Echinodermata; Asteroidea; Forcipulatida; Asteriidae
Exons: 2
Source: RefSeq, a predicted model, not a curated record